Long non-coding RNA from Balaenoptera ricei (Rice's whale), 1108 nucleotides. RefSeq lists it as uncharacterized. NCBI's taxonomy places the organism in Eukaryota, Metazoa, Chordata, Mammalia, Artiodactyla, Balaenopteridae. The record is from RefSeq and is a predicted model, not a curated record. The transcript is spliced from 4 exons.
AUGCCAUGCGACACUGAUAUUUACUAAAAGUUGUAAUAUUAAGACGCAGCGUUUUCAGAAUGUUUUGCUUUUGAACGUGUUAUAAUAUCGCUACUCUCAGGGGCUUAGGGUCUUCAGUUAACAGCUGAUAGGAAAAGAUACGUCCCGGCGUGGUGAGGAAGCAUCGAGUCCCUGAAACCAAAACACCACCUUGGCAACUGCGGACAGAUCCCCGCUACACUGACUACGUGUAUCCACGGAAAAAUCCUCAGGUACGGUGUUCUGGUGUCAACUGUCGCCAAGUGGACCGACACCGCCUCCUCUCGGAGACAGCGGCGACAGUCCUUGCCUUGAUCGUCCGCCGCCGCCUCUCCAGGACUCCCGAGCCCUCUCCCGCGGGGACCCUCGCCCUCCUCGCACCCCGUGAGUUCGGCUGCCGCCGCCUCGAGCGCGUCCAGCAGCAGGAAUGUGUCCUCCGCGGGCUCGUACACGUCGCUGAAGGCGCCACGGCCCACAUGCCUGUGCAAUGGCGUGGGGAGGCAAGGCGCCGCCAUCUUUCGCCCCUCCGGCCCACGCUUAUGCGCAAUGCGCAUGCGUGCGUGCAAGGGCGCAGGCCCAGCAGUGGGGGCGGAGCACCGGGGGGCGGAGAGUCGCCUCGCUUACAGUUCUGGAAGUGAGAAACUGAAAAUCAAGGUGUUGGAUAGGCCAUCCUCUCCAUGAAGCCUCUAGUGUAUAAAUAGAACCUCAGAAGAUGGUUAAGCUGAAGAGAGAGCCUUAAGAGGACAGCAUUCCAGCAGGAUCAAUUAACAGUUUGACUUCCCUGGUGAUGCAGUCGUUAAGAAUCUGCCUGCCAAUGCAAGGGACACGGGUUUGAGCCCUGGUCUGUGAAGAUCCCAUGUGCCACGGAGAAACUAAGCCCGUGUGCCACAACUACUGAGCCCAUAUGCCACAACUACUGAAGCCCACGUGCCUAGAGCCCGUGCUCUGCAAUAAGAAAAGCCACCACAAUGCGAAGCUUGCACACCGAAACGAAGAGUAACCCCCACUCUCCGCAACUAGAGAAAGCCCGCGCACAGCAACGAAGAACCAACUCAGCCAAAAAUAAAAAAUAGAUAAAUAAAUUUAUAAA